This 1095-nucleotide ribosomal RNA is filed under the name Triticum aestivum (bread wheat). Its description in RNAcentral is "partial small subunit ribosomal RNA". The record is from RNAcentral. Lineage: Eukaryota; Viridiplantae; Streptophyta; Magnoliopsida; Poales; Poaceae.
AUGGCGCGACGCCUCCACUCUGCUAUAAUCGCCACCUUCGUUCUGCUUGCGGUUGGACAGUGUAGCAAUGCAGUCCCGACGGAGGCUGAAGUGUACUGGCGCACCGUCCUGCCCGAUUCUCCGCUCCCGGACCCCAUCCUCAAGCUCCUCCAUCCUGAGACCAGCUCUGUGAAGAAACCAAAGGAUGAUACGGUUGCUGAAGCGUACUCCCUGACAUGGUUAAUGUGGGGGCUUCGCUCGCGCUCUGGGCCGACCAAGCACUCGUCUCCCAGGCCAUCAUCAAAGGAUGAAACGGUUGCUGAAGCGUACUCCCUGACAUGGUUAAUGUGGGGGCUCCGCUCUCUCUCCGGACCGAAGAAGCACUCGUCUCCCGGGCCAUCUCACGACCGUGACCACAGCGCCGACGAGUAUCUGGCCCGAGGGCUCUUCUUCCAUGAGGAGGCAGUCCAAGUAGGCAAGACCAUGACCUUAUACUUCCCUUUGGCAGCCAGUGCACCGCUAGGGCUGUUGCCGCGUCAUGUGGCGGACUCAAUUCCAUUCUCGGCGUCCUCGCUGCCGACCGCCCUCGCGCGGCUUGGCGUCGCUAAUAACUCCGUGCAGGCAGCCAACAUGGAGGAGACGCUAUACAUGUGUGACCUGCCGCCAAAAGCAGGCGAGGCCAAAUUCUGCGCUACGUCACUGGAAGCCCUGGUCGAGGGAACCAUGGCGGCGCUCGGCACCCGCAACGUCCGGCCGAUGGCCUCCGACCUACCCCGCUCAGGGGCACCUAAGCAACCGUACGCCGUCCGAGCUGUGCACCCGGUGGACGGAUCGAGCUUCGUGUCAUGCCACGACCAUAACUAUCCCUACACUGUCUACAUGUGCCAUAACACACCCGCAACGAGGGCGUACAUGGUGGAGAUGGAGGGUGCCCAUAGUGGCCUUGCCGUCACUGUCGCCGCUAUUUGCCACACUGACACGUCCCACUGGGACGCGGAGCAUUUCUCCUUCAAGGUCCUCGGCACCAAGCCUGGUGACGGACCAAUCUGCCACUAUCUGCCGUAUGGGCACAACGUGUGGGUCAAGAAGGAGGCAAAUCGCUCGUCAUCGUCCUAA